UCUCUCUCUCUCUCUCUCUCUCUCUCUCUCUCUCUCAGCAUGUACUUCCAGAUUUAGCAGCAAUGGCAGCCCUCUUUUUUACCUUCUUAUUCAAACUGAACCGUCUACUCUUUUGAUGGAUCCCUUGCAACCACCUUUGCUGAGAAGCCCACAUCUCUUGGAGCCACCUUUGCUAAGAAGCCCAUCCCUCUGGCCAUUUCUCAUUUGAGCUUAAUCUAGCCAAGCUCAAGCUCGUUCAGUAGGAAUUAACUAAGCUUGAGUUGGAUUUCAUAGCUCAAGCUUGGCUUAAGCUAAGCAUUAGCAAUUUUUGAGCCGAGCCAAGCUGAGUCUAUCUAACUUAUAUUCAUCUUGUUUACCCCCCUUCUCCUAGCCUUAGGCACAAAACCACAUUUAACACUAACGACCAAGGUUCAUUGUCUCAGUAUCAAACCCCGUACCGGUGCCACGCUAGCAUAGUGCUGAUACAGUACGAAAUUUCUUUGGCGUAUCGAGUAUCAGUACGCCACACAUACUCGCACCAAACUGAAAUGGUAUCGUACGCUCCAUACCGUUCGGUUCGGGCCGGUACGGCAUACCAUGUAACGACCAAAGUUAUCUGACGCUUGUAAAGAAUAUUUGAACCUUCACCAUAAAGAGUAGACAUCAUCUUCUAAACCAUCUUGGUGAUCCUUCCUAUUGAAAUUUGUUUCCCCAUUUGAUCCCUUUCUACUUGACAUCCCUCUUCUCCCCCCUUUUCCCCCAAAUUCUCUUCUUCCUUUCUUUAUCUUUACCUUCUUUACUUUCUUUCCUUCUCUAUUCCCUCUUGCCCCAAACCACCAUGUCCUUUUAUUCUCCUCCUACUCCCUCCUCUUUCUUCUUUUUUUCUUUGCCUUCUCAUCCUCCUCUACUAUAUCACUUCCCUCUUUCUCUUUAUUCUUUUAUUCUUUCUCUGAUUGUUUUGGUCUUCUCUUCCUAAAAUAUGAAUCCACCUUUGCAAAAUUGAAUUUGAGUGAAAACCUGCAUUGGACACAUCUAUUCAAACUGACAAUAUCUAGAAGGCAGCCUACAGACAGUACAAAUUCGUAGCUCUCUUGGAGUGUUUGAGGUCUGUGCACAUCAUAAGACACCCAUAUCUUGGAGGCAAAUCUAACAGCCACAUAGUGCAUUGGAGUUUGAAGUGCUCCAAUCAGCCAACCAAAUCAUAUAAGUUCAAUCACAUUGGAGAACCAAGGCGUUGCUGUACUUCUAGAAUAAAAAUUCUAUCAACCUGUGAUUUAUGAUGAUAGAUUUAGCUUCAAGUUAAAAUAACAAUCAACUCCUAGUAAGCAUCUGCAAGUUAAAUUUGAGUGAAAUUAAGUAAUAACUAACAAUAGUCCAAGUCUUAUGUUGUAAGUAUUAAAAAAACUUUGGUGUUAAUGAACCAAUGCUUAGGAACCACAGCUAAGAGUUCUAGGUCAAACAUAUUUGCUAGUAUUUUUUUUAGCUUUGUAAAGGACUCCAUGGAAACCCUCCUCUUCUUGCAAUGGACUUCAUAAAAACCACUCUAUCAAGUCCUUUUUAAUCUUCUUCCUCUUUAAAGCCAGUCCAUCACUUGACAUCUACAAGCAUCUUAUUCUAGACUUGAAAACUAGAAAUCCUUUAUUAAAUUUGGAAGAAAAAAGGCAGAAUAACUUAAUAAACUCCUUAUAGUAGAUUCCACCUAAGAAAUGCGCAUCGAAAUUUAUAAUUGCACUAUUUCUUGGUUCCACAGCUCGAAUUACAGUGAUAUUGAUUUCAUCGUAGCAUAAAUGUGGGCAAUUUCAAUUAAUUCCAUAUAUUUUGA
RNAcentral lists this long non-coding RNA (1801 nucleotides) under Phoenix dactylifera (date palm). RNAcentral's name for it is "long non-coding RNA (PDAC_LNC013860)". Lineage: Eukaryota; Viridiplantae; Streptophyta; Magnoliopsida; Arecales; Arecaceae. The record is from RNAcentral.